This 365-nucleotide unclassified non-coding RNA is filed under the name uncultured bacterium. RNAcentral's name for it is "contains 16S-23S intergenic spacer region". The record is from RNAcentral.
UCCCCGUUGCCGAGGCAGUCUCGCUAGAAAUAUCAACUAGCGAUAAGGGUUGCGCUCGUUGCUGGACUUAACCAUACAUCUCACGACACGAGCUGACGACGGCCAUGCAUCACCUGUCACCGGUCCAGCCGAACUGACUCCUGACUUUCGUCGGGAUGCGACCGGGAUGUCAAGCCUUGGUAAGGUUCUGCGCGUAGCCUCGAAUUAAACCACACGCUCCACCGCUUGUGCGGGUCCCCGUCAAUUCCUUUGAGUUUUAGCCUUGCGGCCGUACUCCCCAGGCGGGAUGCUUAACGCGUUAGCUUCGCUACUGAUCGGGUCGAUACGCUCAACAGCUAGCAUCCAUCGUUUACGGCGUGGACUAC